AACGUAGGUGGCGAGCGUUAUCCGGAUUUACUGGGCGUAAAGCGUGUGCAGGCGGGGAGACAAGUGGUGUAUGAAAUUUCCCGGCUUAACCGGGAAGGGUUAUGCCAGACUGUCUUUCUGGAGUGCGAGAGAGGGGCGUGGAAUUCCGGGUGUAGUGGUGAAAUGCGUAGAGAUCCGGAGGAACCCCAGAGGCGAAGGCGGCGAUCUGGGCAGAUAUUGACGCUGAGGUGCGAAAGCGUGGGGAGCAAACAGG
This 253-nucleotide ribosomal RNA is filed under the name uncultured bacterium. Its description in RNAcentral is "partial 16S ribosomal RNA". It matches the Rfam family "Bacterial small subunit ribosomal RNA", at positions 524 to 776 of the family's 1533-position model. The record is from RNAcentral.